RNAcentral lists this ribosomal RNA (253 nucleotides) under uncultured bacterium. Its description in RNAcentral is "partial 16S ribosomal RNA". It matches the Rfam family "Bacterial small subunit ribosomal RNA", at positions 524 to 776 of the family's 1533-position model. The record is from RNAcentral.
GACAGAGGGUGCGAACGUUGUUCGGAAUUACUGGGCGUAAAGCGCGUGUAGGCGGUUCGGCAAGUCGGAUGUGAAAGCCCAGGGCUCAACCCUGGAAGUGCACUCGAAACUGCCGAACUGGAGUCCCGGAGAGGAAGGCGGAAUUCUCGGUGUAGAGGUGAAAUUCGUAGAUAUCGAGAGGAACACCUGCGGCGAAGGCGGGUUGCUGGGCUGAUACUGACGCUGAGGCGCGAAAGCCAGGGGAGCGAACGGG